This 618-nucleotide ribosomal RNA is filed under the name uncultured Basidiomycota. RNAcentral's name for it is "LSU rRNA". It matches the Rfam family "Eukaryotic large subunit ribosomal RNA", at positions 11 to 635 of the family's 3401-position model. The record is from RNAcentral. Lineage: Eukaryota; Fungi; Basidiomycota.
UCAGGUGGGACUACCCGCUGAACUUAAGCAUACAAUAAGGCGGAGGAAAAGAAACUAACAGGGAUUCCCCUAGUAACGGCGAGUGAAGCGGGAUGAGCUCAAAUUUAAAAUCUGAUAGUCUUUGGCUGUCCGAGUUGUAAUCUAGAGAAGUGUUUUCCGCGUUGGACCAUGUACAAGUUUCCUGGAACGGAACGUCAUAGAGGGUGAGAAUCCCGUCCUUGACAUGGACUACCAGUGCUUUGUGAUACACUCUCAACGAGUCGAGUUGUUUGGGAUUGCAGCUCAAAAUGGGAGGUAAAUUCCUUCUAAAGCUAAAUAUUGGCGAGAGACCGAUAGCGAACAAGUACCGUGAGGGAAAGAUGUAAAGCACUUUGGAAAGAGAGUUAAACAGUACGUGAAAUUGUUAAAAGGGAAACGAUUGAAGUCAGUCGCGUUUACUUGGACUCAGCCUUACCUCGGUUUGGUGCAUUUCCUUGUGAACGGGCCAGCGUCAAUGUUGUCCGUUGGAAAAGGGUUGGAGAAAUGUGGCUCUUUCGGGAGUGUUAUAGUCUCUGAUCGUAUACAACGGCUGAUAUUGAGUGGUACAACAUGCUUCGGCGGUGCUUGUGCUGGCAUAAU